UCGGCAGCGCAAAAGCGGGCCGAUGAUCAGAGCGGAGGCGCAGGUUUCCGACGCGUCUCCAUCCCAUGUUGCUUUACGGAGGAUAUGGCUAUGAGAA
RNAcentral lists this small RNA (97 nucleotides) under Rhizobium etli CFN 42. Its description in RNAcentral is "Repression of heat shock gene expression (ROSE) element". It matches the Rfam family "Repression of heat shock gene expression (ROSE) element". From Rfam's summary of the family: This family represents a 5' UTR cis-regulatory element found in heat shock mRNAs and is known as the ROSE (repression of heat shock gene expression) element. The ROSE element is a negative regulator of heat shock gene expression. The secondary structure is thought to be regulated by temperature. Lineage: Bacteria; Pseudomonadati; Pseudomonadota; Alphaproteobacteria; Hyphomicrobiales; Rhizobiaceae. The record is from Rfam by way of RNAcentral.